This 496-nucleotide ribosomal RNA is filed under the name uncultured bacterium. Its description in RNAcentral is "partial 16S ribosomal RNA". It matches the Rfam family "Bacterial small subunit ribosomal RNA", at positions 28 to 506 of the family's 1533-position model. The record is from RNAcentral.
GAUGAACGCUGGCGGCGUGCCUAAUACAUGCAAGUCGAGCGAACAGAUAAGGAGCUUGCUCCUUUGACGUUAGCGGCGGACGGGUGAGUAACACGUGGAUAACCUACCUAUAAGACUGGGAUAACUUCGGGAAACCGGAGCUAAUACCGGAUAACAUAUUGAACCGCAUGGUUCAAUAGUGAAAGGCGGCUUUGCUGUCACUUAUAGAUGGAUCCGCGCCGUAUUAGCUAGUUGGUAAGGUAACGGCUUACCAAGGCAACGAUACGUAGCCGACCUGAGAGGGUGAUCGGCCACACUGGAACUGAGACACGGUCCAGACUCCUACGGGAGGCAGCAGUAGGGAAUCUUCCGCAAUGGGCGAAAGCCUGACGGAGCAACGCCGCGUGAGUGAUGAAGGUCUUCGGAUCGUAAAACUCUGUUAUCAGGGAAGAACAAAUGUGUAAGUAACUGUGCACAUCUUGACGGUACCUGAGCAGAAAACCACGGCGAACUACGU